RNAcentral lists this ribosomal RNA (253 nucleotides) under uncultured bacterium. RNAcentral's name for it is "partial 16S ribosomal RNA". It matches the Rfam family "Bacterial small subunit ribosomal RNA", at positions 524 to 776 of the family's 1533-position model. The record is from RNAcentral.
UACGUAGGGUGCGAGCGUUAAUCGGAAUUACUGGGCGUAAAGCGUGCGCAGGCGGUUCGUUGUGUCGGCGGUGAAAGCCCCGGGCUUAACCUGGGAAUGGCCGUUGAAACUGGCGAACUGGAGUGUGGCAGAGGGGGGUGGAAUUCCGCGUGUAGCAGUGAAAUGCGUAGAGAUGUGGAGGAAUACCGAUGGCGAAGGCAGCCCCCUGGGCCAAUACUGACGCUCAUGCACGAAAGCGUGGGGAGCAAACAGG